UGGGGAAGCAUCCAAAGGGAUCGCAUUGAUCCUUCCAUCCAUGGUAAUGGUGGCCGUCAUCAAUCGACCGGUUCGAUGGAUCAUGCGAUCCUUUUGGAAGCUUCCUC
Non-coding RNA from Hordeum vulgare subsp. vulgare (domesticated barley), 107 nucleotides. NCBI's taxonomy places the organism in Eukaryota, Viridiplantae, Streptophyta, Magnoliopsida, Poales, Poaceae. The record is from Rfam.